Molecule: long non-coding RNA, 527 nt
Organism: Papaver somniferum (opium poppy)
Lineage: Eukaryota; Viridiplantae; Streptophyta; Magnoliopsida; Ranunculales; Papaveraceae
Exons: 2
Source: RefSeq, a predicted model, not a curated record
UCGUCACAAAUCCCACAGUUAAAAUCAUAUUUUGGACCUACAACAGGCGCCCUCAUGAGGCAAACGGGGAGAACGGCGGUGGUUAUGAGUUUUAUGAGUUUUGCAGUUAUGAUAUCCAUUUAAAAAAUUUGGAAUCCAUCUUUAAGAUGAGAAAGAAGAUAUCUUACCUGUGGCAUCUCAACCGCCUUGCCCACUUCUAGUCGAACUAUAUAUGCUGGGUUUGUAAGAUGGAACUUAUAAGACAGAUAAGUGAAAGAAGCAUGAUGUGCGGGAGCAAUAGAAUCAACAACUGGGCCUUUGGAGAGUUACGAUUCGUAAGCAACCAACCGCAAGGGACUUAAGAAUUUAGUAACUUUUUUCUUUUGUUAAUAUGAGCCUCACAGGUGACUAUUAAUAAGGUAAAUGAGUUAAGUUAUAGAUUUGGAUCUAUGACUAUGUGAAAAGAUCCUAUGAUAAACUAGGAGGCAUAUCUACUACUACCAAAGGAAUGUAAUGUAGAAGAAUAUAAAUGGAACUUGUGUGAUGAA